Ylistrum balloti is the source of this 957-nucleotide long non-coding RNA. RefSeq lists it as uncharacterized. The record is from RefSeq and is a predicted model, not a curated record. The transcript has 2 exons. Lineage: Eukaryota; Metazoa; Mollusca; Bivalvia; Pectinida; Pectinidae.
UGUCAAGUUGAAAUUACAUAAAGGAGAAGAAUGGCCCGGUGGAAUGGGGACCACCACUUAGUUCAAGUGGAGGGGUCGUAACAUAUCUAUAGUAAAUUUAUUCGUAUGCCAAUUUAUCUUCGGCUGGUUGGAUAGGCCCUACGUACGAAUCCCGAUAGUUUAAACGCCAGUCAAAACAUCUAUUUUAACAGCCACGCUGCGGACAACAUUUAGCGUGAAAAUUCACAAGAUGUUUUAAUCGUGGUGGUCGGAAGUGCACGACGGAGAGGAAUCCUGUUGUGGACUAUCUACGUUAAAUGAUGGAUAGAACGGGAGAUGGAUGACCAUCCCACUCUUGUCACCAUCCGUCCAUCUCACCAAUAUGCUCAAUAUUGAUAUCGCGCUCUGACAACACUUCGGAAGCUGUGAUGGAUCUAUCCUGUGAUCUGCUAAUAGUGGCCACGUCUUUUAGAUAGUUUUCAGUCCCAGACGAUCUGCCGAACACUGCACGUACUUUCUAAUACUAUGUUGGAUAUUCGCAAUAGACCGGAAGUGCGUUUUGCUGUAGAAUUCCUUGGUUUUCAAGCAAAUGAUGACUGAAACUUUUCUGUUUUGGACACGUGAUGCCUUUUUGUGAGAUGACUUCGGUACAGGACAAUGUUUUUGCGUUUCAUUCGAUGCCAAGCGAUAUGUUGGUUGUCUUUGCGGAUUCUGCCCAUCUCCACUCCCCUUGGCCGGACUUCUCCUUCAGUGUCUGUGUUCCGGCUAUUUCGUUACUCGAUCGUAACCUAUGGACAACACUGAUGUGUUUGCAGAUCGCUACUCUUAACUUUCGUUCGGUUUUUUCACAAGUAUUUAACUCACUUCUAGAUCUUAUAACUACAUAUCUCCGAUCACUGCCAAGUUUGCAUUAUUUGCUCUACAAAUAUGUGUGUUGUUAUCUGGAAUUUUAAUUCAAGCGAACUUUUUUCUCGGGUG